AACCAGCACCUCAAGUGGUCAGGAUGAUUAUUGGGCCUAAAGCAUCCGUAGCCGGCUCUGUAAGUUUUCGGUUAAAUCUGUACGCUCAACGUACAGGCUGCCGGGAAUACUGCAGAGCUAGGGAGUGGGAGAGGUAGACGGUACUCGGUAGGAAGGGGUAAAAUCCUUUGAUCUAUCGAUGACCACCUGUGGCGAAGGCGGUCUACCAGAACACGUCCGACGGUGAGGGAUGAAAGCUGGGGGAGCAAACCGG
RNAcentral lists this ribosomal RNA (253 nucleotides) under uncultured archaeon. RNAcentral's name for it is "partial 16S ribosomal RNA". It matches the Rfam family "Archaeal small subunit ribosomal RNA", at positions 474 to 727 of the family's 1478-position model. The record is from RNAcentral.